AAAACUAAUAAUGAUACUUAGGAAAAUAUUUGCUAUUUUUACUGUCUUUACAUUGUAUAAUUAAUUUUUUUAAAGAUGUGUAGAUAUUAUUAAAUGUUAAUAAGAUCUUAUUUUGUCAAGAUCGCUAUAUGUGAAAUAUAUAAAGGAUAAGUAACAAAAUCAACAUUAGAUGGAGAUUAUUUUACUAUAUAAGCAUAUUUUUAAUAAUUAAAUUGUGAUGAAAUAGAAAAUCUUUAUAGAACAAAUUAAAAAGUUGGCAAAGAAAGAAAUAUCGAAUUCGUUCAUCAUUUAAAAUUAUUUUCUUAAAAUGUAAAAAUAAUUGUUUUCAUAGUGUUGUACGUGUGUGUGUGUGUCACAACCACUAAAAUAUAAAACUAGAUUUGAAAUGUGUCACAACUUACCCACAAUUGUUUUAUAAAAAAAAAGUAAAUCAUUACAUGCCCAUAUAGAAAUGAUAUAAACUUCUAAUUUAGAACCAGUUAUCACAGAAGAGAUAUUAUAAUUAAAUACUUUCCGUAAAUAAAACAUGAAAUUCAGAAUAAAACAGAGGAAACAGAAGUAAACAGGGGUAACAAAUUGGACUUUAUAACUAAAUACUUUCCGGAAAUAAAACAUGAAAUUCAGAAUAAAACAGAAGUGAUAUUAUAAUUAAACAGAAGAGAUAUUAUAAAACAGUUAUCACAGAAGAGAUAUUAUAAUUAAAUACUUUCCGUAAAUAAAACAUGAAAUCUAUUACUAUAAAAGAGAGUUGGUUCUCUCCUGCUGACACAUCAGCGUCCAGGUCAAAAAUUCAGUGUAUAUCGUCUCAACACGUGUCCGCUGUGUGCUAAAUGCACCGUUUCAUUUAUUGCUUUCCUUCAUUCGUAUGGAUUUUUACCUUUGUUGGGCCGUGUCACCUCUCUGUCUAGCCCACUAGCUUUUCCUUGAUGAAACGCACCGUUCCUUUAUCACGUGUUCUUCUCUUUCCGUCUCCAGCUCUAAUGGCGAUUAGGGUUUUGAAAAUGAUCUCUCAUCUUUUUUCUUACAGUCUGGAACGGUACAAGUAACCGAGAUAUCCACUUUAACCUUCCAUUAAUGAUCCAUGAUCUAUUUAAUGCGAGUUUUGUUAUGCAAGGCGAUGGAAUUCGGCUAUAAAAAGGUUGCUUUACACCUUUGAGAAUCAUCCUCUCAUUCGUUCUAAAUAACCCAGUAAAAAUGGUGUUCUAUGGCUAACGUUUCAGUCUUCCUCUCAGUUUCUGUUACAGUUAUUUCACCAGACAUUUUCCAGAUUUCGAUGAUUGUUGUGUACGUUUUUCAUGUUCGUAAAUUUUCACCAUCGGAGUAGUUUCACCGUUCAUGACUCAGGAGGAUGAUAAAGCUUAGGCUCUGGACGAUGAGAUGGCUGUGAAAGAGCCUGAGUUAGGAAAGAAACAGAAUUGGAAUCAGAGUAUGAAAAACAGAAACAAUGAGAGACAUUAGAUAUCAGUGAGAGGGAGAAAUAGAAAUAGGAACAGUUUUAAAGAGGGAGUCAACUGAGACAAAGAGGGAUCACAUAGAAGAAUAAGAAGAAGAGACCCGGGAGAGAUCAGAGAAGCUGCGAGACUGAGAAUGAUACAAGAAAAGGCACUUCAUCUUGAUGGAUCUUAGAAAGGACAUGAUGCUACACAUGCAAGGUCUCUUUUGUUUGACACCUGAUACUAUCUAUGCAAUGCACAUUAAUCUAAAUGCUUCUCAAUGUCUGGAUUGGGAUAGUGUAUCAGGGUAAAAUAUCAAUGAAAGCUCCGUAAAAACAGCAGCACGCAGGUAAAGGGAGAGACUCCAUAAAACGUUUCUCUCAUCUGUACUCAACUUUUUAUCAAUAUCAAUGAAAGCUUAUAUUUUCUCUGCUGCGUUCAUCUAAUAUUUUAUCAAUGUGACUCCAUUAUACAUGGAUGAAACUGUUUUUUCCUUUCCAGUGUUACCAUCAGUUCCAA
Raphanus sativus (radish) is the source of this 1952-nucleotide long non-coding RNA. RefSeq lists it as uncharacterized. The record is from RefSeq and is a predicted model, not a curated record. Lineage: Eukaryota; Viridiplantae; Streptophyta; Magnoliopsida; Brassicales; Brassicaceae. The transcript has 3 exons.